UAAUGUAGUUUAUUUGUUUAAGUAAAGUGGCUGUUGUCUCGCAUAAGUAUUUGUAACGGCACUUUAUUAUUCUAAAGAAAAGCGAUCCUUCAAAGUAAACGCUCUAUCAUUUGGAAUCAAGCUCUUGACAACUGUUGUUUCGCCAUUUGAAAAA
Molecule: long non-coding RNA, 154 nt
Organism: Hydra vulgaris (swiftwater hydra)
Lineage: Eukaryota; Metazoa; Cnidaria; Hydrozoa; Anthoathecata; Hydridae
Source: RefSeq, a predicted model, not a curated record